UAGGUAAGAUUGGAGGAUACUUAGGUGAUCUUCAAUACAUUGAAUAUCAAGUUCUUAGUGGGCCAUUUUGGAAGCAGAACUGGCGAUGUGGGAUGAACCGAACGUUAAGUUAAAGUGCCAAAUAGUACGCUCAUGAGAUACCAUAAAGGUGUUGGUUCAUUUUGACAGCAGGACGGUGGCCAUGGAAGUCGGAACCCCGCUUAAGGAGUGUGUAACAACUCACCUGCCGAAUGAACUAGCCCUGAAAAUGGAUGGCGCUUAAGCGUAUAACUUAUACUUAACCCUUACUUGAAUUAUAAUAGCGAGUAAGGAGUAGGAGGGCGUAAGGUUUCUAUUAUAUUGGCUGUUAAGCAUCUAAGCGUGAGCUUAUGUGGAGCAAACUUUAGUGUAGAUCUUGGUGGUAGUAGC
This 408-nucleotide ribosomal RNA is filed under the name uncultured eukaryote. RNAcentral describes it as "eukaryotic LSU rRNA". It matches the Rfam family "Eukaryotic large subunit ribosomal RNA", at positions 1070 to 1464 of the family's 3401-position model. The record is from RNAcentral.